UACACUCCGCGGGAGGCAGCAGUGGGGAAUAUUGGACAAUGGGCGCAAGCCUGAUCCAGCCAUGCCGCGUGAGUGAUGAAGGCCCUAGGGUUGUAAAGCUCUUUCACCGGUGAAGAUAAUGACGGUAACCGGAGAAGAAGCCCCGGCUAACUUCGUGCCAGCAGCCGCGGUAAUACGAAGGGGGCUAGCGUUGUUCGGAUUUACUGGGCGUAAAGCGCACGUAGGCGGACUAUUAAGUCAGGGGUGAAAUCCCGGGGCUCAACCCCGGAACUGCCUUUGAUACUGGUAGUCUUGAGUUCGAGAGAGGUGAGUGGAAUUCCGAGUGUAGAGGUGAAAUUCGUAGAUAUUCGGAGGAACACCAGUGGCGAAGGCGGCUCACUGGCUCGAUACUGACGCUGAGGUGCGAAAGCGUGGGGAGCAAACAGGAUUAGAAACCCCAGUAGUCCCAUGA
RNAcentral lists this ribosomal RNA (451 nucleotides) under uncultured organism. RNAcentral describes it as "partial 16S ribosomal RNA". It matches the Rfam family "Bacterial small subunit ribosomal RNA", at positions 332 to 800 of the family's 1533-position model. The record is from RNAcentral.